AUGGCGGCGCGGCAGCUUACCAUGCAGUCGAGCGGUAACAGGGGUAGCUUGCUACCCGCUGACGAGCGGCGGACGGGUGAGUAAUGCAUAGGAAACUGCCCAGUAGUGGGGGAUAGCCCGGGGAAACCCGGAUUAAUACCGCAUACGUCCUUCGGGAGAAAGCAGGGGAUCUUCGGACCUUGCGCUAUUGGAUGUGCCUAUGUCGGAUUAGCUGGUUGGUGAGGUAAUGGCUCACCAAGGCGACGAUCCGUAGCUGGUCUGAGAGGAUGAUCAGCCACAUCGGGACUGAGACACGGCCCGAACUCCUACGGGAGGCAGCAGUGGGGAAUAUUGGACAAUGGGGGCAACCCUGAUCCAGCCAUGCCGCGUGUGUGAAGAAGGCUUUCGGGUUGUAAAGCACUUUCAGUGAGGAGGAAAAGUUAGUCCUUAAUACGGGCUAGCCUUGACGUUACUCACAGAAGAAGCACCGGCUAACUCCGUGCCAGCAGCCGCGGUAAUACGGAGGGUGCAAGCGUUAAUCGGAAUUACUGGGCGUAAAGCGCGCGUAGGUGGUUUGAUAAGCGAGAUGUGAAAGCCCCGGGCUUAACCUGGGAACGGCAUUUCGAACUGUCAGGCUAGAGUGUGGUAGAGGGUAGUGGAAUUUCCUGUGUAGCGGUGAAAUGCGUAGAUAUAGGAAGGAACACCAGUGGCGAAGGCGGCUACCUGGACCAACACUGACACUGAGGUGCGAAAGCGUGGGGAGCAAACAGGAUUAGAUACUUUGGUAGUC
This 769-nucleotide ribosomal RNA is filed under the name Marinobacter sp. Its description in RNAcentral is "bacterial SSU rRNA". It matches the Rfam family "Bacterial small subunit ribosomal RNA", at positions 36 to 795 of the family's 1533-position model. The record is from RNAcentral. Lineage: Bacteria; Pseudomonadati; Pseudomonadota; Gammaproteobacteria; Pseudomonadales; Marinobacteraceae.